This 600-nucleotide ribosomal RNA is filed under the name Staphylococcus pasteuri. Its description in RNAcentral is "bacterial SSU rRNA". It matches the Rfam family "Bacterial small subunit ribosomal RNA", at positions 41 to 619 of the family's 1533-position model. Lineage: Bacteria; Bacillati; Bacillota; Bacilli; Caryophanales; Staphylococcaceae. The record is from RNAcentral.
GGUGCGCGACGCGUAUACAUGCAAGUCGAGCGAACAGAUAAGGAGCUUGCUCCUUUGACGUUAGCGGCGGACGGGUGAGUAACACGUGGAUAACCUACCUAUAAGACUGGGAUAACUUCGGGAAACCGGAGCUAAUACCGGAUAACAUAUUGAACCGCAUGGUUCAAUAGUGAAAGACGGCUUUGCUGUCACUUAUAGAUGGAUCCGCGCCGUAUUAGCUAGUUGGUAAGGUAACGGCUUACCAAGGCAACGAUACGUAGCCGACCUGAGAGGGUGAUCGGCCACACUGGAACUGAGACACGGUCCAGACUCCUACGGGAGGCAGCAGUAGGGAAUCUUCCGCAAUGGGCGAAAGCCUGACGGAGCAACGCCGCGUGAGUGAUGAAGGUCUUCGGAUCGUAAAACUCUGUUAUCAGGGAAGAACAAAUGUGUAAGUAACUGUGCACGUCUUGACGGUACCUGAUCAGAAAGCCACGGCUAACUACGUGCCAGCAGCCGCGGUAAUACGUAGGUGGCAAGCGUUAUCCGGAAUUAUUGGGCGUAAAGCGCGCGUAGGCGGUUUUUUAAGUCUGAUGUGAAAGCCCACGGCUCAACCGUGGA